UUCUUAUUGAAAUUAUUAUAAGUAACACCUGCUCAAUGAAUUCUUAAAUAGCCGCGGCUAUUUUUCCGUGCUAAGGUAGCAUAAUCAUUAGUCUCAUAAUUAGAGACUCGUAUGAAUGGUGAAACAUUUCAAUUACUUUAUUAAAUAAAAUUUCUCAAACUUUAAUUAAGAAUAAAAAUGUUCUUAUUAACUAAAUAGACAACAAGACCCUACUGAACUUUACUAUUGUUUAACUGGGGAAGUUAAAUAAAAAUUAUCUUAUUUUUACUUAAAUUUAUAAAUGACCCAACAUAAUUGAUUAUCUGAACAAGUUACCAUAGGGAUAACAGCGUAAUAUCUUUCUAAAGCUCUUAUUUAAAAAGUUGAUUGCGACCUCGAUGUUGAAUUAAUAUAACUUUUAUAAUGCAACAAUUUAAAAAGUGGGUCUGUUCGACCCUUAAUAUAUUACAU
This 450-nucleotide ribosomal RNA is filed under the name Exechocentrus lancearius. RNAcentral's name for it is "partial 16S large subunit ribosomal RNA". It matches the Rfam family "Bacterial large subunit ribosomal RNA", at positions 1831 to 2601 of the family's 2925-position model. The record is from RNAcentral. Lineage: Eukaryota; Metazoa; Arthropoda; Arachnida; Araneae; Araneidae.